UUNUGAACUGGGUGACUAGAGUGUGUCAGAGGGAGGUAGAACUCCACGUGUAGCAGUGAAAUGCGUAGAGAUGUGGAGGAAUACCGAUGGCGAAGGCAGCCUCCUGGGAUAACACUGACGUUCAUGCCCGAAAGCGUGGGUAGCAAACAGGAUUAGAUACCCUGGUAGUCCACGCCCUAAACGAUGUCGAUUAGCUGUUGGGCAGCAUGACUGCUUAGUAGCGAAGCUAACGCGUGAAAUCGACCGCCUGGGGAGUACGGUCGCAAGAUUAAAACUCAAAGGAAUUGACGGGGACCCGCACAAGCGGUGGACGAUGUGGAUUAAUUCGAUGCAACGCGAAGAACCUUACCUGGUCUUGACAUGUACGGAACCCUCCAGAGACGGAGGAGUGCCUUCGGGAGCCGUAACACAGGUGCUGCAUGGCUGUCGUCAGCUCGUGCCGUGAGAUGUUGGGUUAAGUCCCGCAACGAGCGCAACCCUUGUCAUUAGUUGCCAUCAUUAAGUUGGGCACUCUAAUGAGACUGCCGGUGACAAGCCGGAGGAAGGUGGGGAUGACGUCAAGUCCUCAUGGCCCUUAUGACCAGGGCUUCACACGUCAUACAAUGGUCGGUACAGAGGGUAGCCAAGCCGCGAGGCGGAGCCAAUCUCACAAAACCGAUCGUAGUCCGGAUUGCACUCUGCAACUCGAGUGCAUGAAGUCGGAAUCGCUAGUAAUCGCAGGUCAGCAUACUGCGGUGAAUACGUUCCCGGGUCUUGUACACACCGCCCGUCACACCAUGGGAGUGGGGGAUACCAGAAG
RNAcentral lists this ribosomal RNA (799 nucleotides) under uncultured bacterium. RNAcentral describes it as "bacterial SSU rRNA". It matches the Rfam family "Bacterial small subunit ribosomal RNA", at positions 626 to 1426 of the family's 1533-position model. The record is from RNAcentral.